Acanthosepion pharaonis is the source of this 113-nucleotide non-coding RNA. NCBI's taxonomy places the organism in Eukaryota, Metazoa, Mollusca, Cephalopoda, Sepiida, Sepiidae. The record is from the annotation of a GenBank genome assembly.
UAUGGCCACAUCAUAUUGAAACACUGGUUCCUGUAUGUUCACCAAAGUUAAGCAAUCUUGAACAUAGUCAGUACCUAGAUGGGUGAUUGCUUGGGGAUAUCAGGUGCUGCAAC